UAGGGAAUCUUCCACAAUGGACGAAAGUCUGAUGGAGCAACGCCGCGUGAGUGAAGAAGGUUUUCGGAUCGUAAAACUCUGUUGUAAGGGAAGAACAAGUACAGUAGUAACUGGCUGUACCUUGACGGUACCUUAUUAGAAAGCCACGGCUAACUACGUGCCAGCAGCCGCGGUAAUACGUAGGUGGCAAGCGUUGUCCGGAAUUAUUGGGCGUAAAGCGCGCGCAGGCGGUCCUUUAAGUCUGAUGUGAAAGCCCACGGCUCAACCGUGGAAGGUCAUUGGAAACUGGGGGACUUGAGUGCAGAAGAGGUUAGUGGAAUUCCAAGUGUAGCGGUGAAAUGCGUAGAGAUUUGGAGGAACACCAGUGGCGAAGGCGACUAACUGGUCUGUAACUGACGCU
RNAcentral lists this ribosomal RNA (400 nucleotides) under uncultured bacterium. Its description in RNAcentral is "bacterial SSU rRNA". It matches the Rfam family "Bacterial small subunit ribosomal RNA", at positions 355 to 747 of the family's 1533-position model. The record is from RNAcentral.